Non-coding RNA from Myotis lucifugus (little brown bat), 80 nucleotides. NCBI's taxonomy places the organism in Eukaryota, Metazoa, Chordata, Mammalia, Chiroptera, Vespertilionidae. The record is from Rfam.
UAGGGGGAGGUUGGUGCCAUGUGUGGUACUGAGAUAAUGGCUGCCCACAGUACCACCCAUGGCGCCCUCCUCCCCCUACA